RNAcentral lists this ribosomal RNA (1110 nucleotides) under Shigella dysenteriae. Its description in RNAcentral is "bacterial SSU rRNA". It matches the Rfam family "Bacterial small subunit ribosomal RNA", at positions 36 to 1127 of the family's 1533-position model. The record is from RNAcentral. Lineage: Bacteria; Pseudomonadati; Pseudomonadota; Gammaproteobacteria; Enterobacterales; Enterobacteriaceae.
CAGGCCUGGGGGCCUACACAUGCAGUCGAGCGGUAGCACAGAGAGCUUGCUCUCGGGUGACGAGCGGCGGACGGGUGAGUAAUGUCUGGGAAACUGCCUGAUGGAGGGGGAUAACUACUGGAAACGGUAGCUAAUACCGCAUAACGUCGCAAGACCAAAGUGGGGGACCUUCGGGCCUCAUGCCAUCAGAUGUGCCCAGAUGGGAUUAGCUAGUAGGUGGGGUAACGGCUCACCUAGGCGACGAUCCCUAGCUGGUCUGAGAGGAUGACCAGCCACACUGGAACUGAGACACGGUCCAGACUCCUACGGGAGGCAGCAGUGGGGAAUAUUGCACAAUGGGCGCAAGCCUGAUGCAGCCAUGCCGCGUGUAUGAAGAAGGCCUUCGGGUUGUAAAGUACUUUCAGCGGGGAGGAAGGCGAUAAGGUUAAUAACCUUGUCGAUUGACGUUACCCGCAGAAGAAGCACCGGCUAACUCCGUGCCAGCAGCCGCGGUAAUACGGAGGGUGCAAGCGUUAAUCGGAAUUACUGGGCGUAAAGCGCACGCAGGCGGUCUGUCAAGUCGGAUGUGAAAUCCCCGGGCUCAACCUGGGAACUGCAUUCGAAACUGGCAGGCUAGAGUCUUGUAGAGGGGGGUAGAAUUCCAGGUGUAGCGGUGAAAUGCGUAGAGAUCUGGAGGAAUACCGGUGGCGAAGGCGGCCCCCUGGACAAAGACUGACGCUCAGGUGCGAAAGCGUGGGGAGCAAACAGGAUUAGAUACCCUGGUAGUCCACGCCGUAAACGAUGUCGAUUUGGAGGUUGUGCCCUUGAGGCGUGGCUUCCGGAGCUAACGCGUUAAAUCGACCGCCUGGGGAGUACGGCCGCAAGGUUAAAACUCAAAUGAAUUGACGGGGGCCCGCACAAGCGGGGGAGCAUGUGGUUUAAUUCGAUGCAACGCCAAGAACCUUACCUGGCCUUGACAUCCACAGAAUUUACCAAAAGAUGGCUUUGGUGCCUUCGGGGAACUGUGAAAACAGGUGCUUCUUUGGCUGGCCUUCAACUCCGUGUUUUUAAAAUGGUUGCUUUAAAUCCCCCCACCAAAUUCCAACCCUUUAUCCUUUUUUUUCCCACCCC